GCUGUGUCUUGCAGCCUGUGGGCUUUUUCUGGCUGCUGUGGCCCACUACGCCUGCAGCAGGACUGGAGGCUUGCAGGACUGAUACCCAUUCCCCAGAGCAACCCUCAACCAAUGACCUUCAGGAUUGGGUGGAUAAAUAUCCCAGCUCUCUUACUCUUCAGCACCAUGAGAAGAGCUUCUCCCCUGUAAAUGGCCACUCUCACUUGUGGGUCCAUGACUAGCUGAACUGAACCCAUUCCACAGUAAGGACCCAAGCCCAGCAGAUCUGCAGCCAAAACCAAAGUUGCUCAGUGGGACCCAUGCCACAUAAGCCGACCCAUGGCCAACCUGAAAAUAAAUUUUCAGCCAAGACAUUCUUUUGCAGCCUAAGAGGGUUAUUAUGGAGAGGUGGAAAGAUCUUCAAACCUGGAAGGCUUGCUUCAAACCCCAGCUCUACUCCAACUACAGGAUUGGGGCAGAGGCUGGAAGAGCUAAAAUGUUCAUUUCUCAGCCUCUCCUUCUGCCAGCAAUAAGACACUGGGAGGUCUGUUGAUGUGGCAGAUGGCGGUGGCAUGCCCUGUGUCCCAUGCCCACAGUCUAAUCACCUCUGACUUCAGUCACAGCUGUGGUGGACAGUUCCGUGUGUUCCAAUUCACCUCAUGCAAGACAGCAUCCAGUCUCAAGUGUGGACUUCUAACAGCCAUCUUAUAUCACAAACGUCAUCUCUGCUUCCAGAGGGCACAGCCUAGAACAGGAACAAAGGGGCUUAACUCCUCAGUGAUGUUAAGUAUCCUGACUGAAGCCUGGGAAUGUUCCACACUCACUGUCCUGUGGCCCGGACAAAUGAGAGUUGUUUAUCUUUCAACUCCACUUAGAAAAGUAAAUUUAAAAAACUCAUUAAAAAAAAAAAAA
Molecule: long non-coding RNA, 891 nt
Filed under: Homo sapiens (human)
Lineage: Eukaryota; Metazoa; Chordata; Mammalia; Primates; Hominidae
Description: long independently transcribed non-coding RNA 1282 (LINC01282)
Source: RNAcentral